AUUAUAGUUGGCUUACAGUGUUCUGUCAAUUUUCCACUGUACAGCAAAAUGACCCAGUCACACAUACAUUCUUUUUCUCACAUUAUCCUCCAUCAUGUUCCAUCACUAGUGACUAGGUAUAGUUCACAGUGCUACACAGCAGGAUCUCAUUGUUUAUCCAUUCCAAAUGCAAUAGUUUGCAUUUAUUGACCCCGGACUCCCUGUCCAUCCCACUCCCUCUCCCUCCCCCUUGGCAACCACAAGUCCAUUCUCCAAGUCCAUGAGUUUCUUUUCUGUAGAAAGGUUCAUUUGUGCCAUAAAUUAGAUUCCAGCUGUUGAUUGGGAAGAUGGCCAUCUACACAUCCAUCUGGAUCUGCCUCGGUCCUUCACUGGCCUCCUGUUCCUGAUGCAACUUUGCCCACCUGGUGUUUAGCACUGGACAGCACUCAGCACAUGAGUCUGAAUGCUCCCUCAGUCCCCACUCCUUCCUGUGGCACUGAUGACACUGGAGGUCAGCUACACCUUCCCCUCAUCCAUCCUUCUUCUAUCUGCUUCCCUUGUCACCUCCAUGUGACCAGGCUCCCCUACUCCCUCUCUUAGAUGAAUUCUGUUCCACACUGUGGUCCCAGGGAAGUUAGCUGAUGCCCUUCCACACUAUUUCAGAACUGAAAAAAAAAAAAUUUUGGCUGACAUCAGAGCAGAAAACACUCACUUUGUCCUCAGAUCCCUACAUCCCUCCCACCCUAGGGGAUUGGGAGAGUAGACAGUGGUAGGGGACUGGAACAAAACAACAUCUAAGUUUCUUCUAUUCCCAUCCAACUCUCCUCCUUCUCUCCAGCUUGGAGGCUGUUUCCUAGAGUAGCAGGAAAGAGGGGGAAAGACAACCAGGUCAUGCCUCCUUGCCUCUCCUUGCAAGAUAUCAAGCACUGAUUUUUUAUUAUCUAGGCCUGGUUUGAAACUUCCCUCCCAGUGAGGGUCCAGGACAGAAAAUAGAAAAAAAGAAUAUAAUUAAUAUCUCAAAGUAAAAUGAUGCCACACAAUCCUGCCUUUUGCUUCCAGGAAGAUAACCCCAAUUCCUUAUUUCCCUAAACUCUAACUUGUCCAUAACAAUCUCCCUUCUUAAUAACCCUUUAGCAGCUACUGUGUGCUCGCCAGACCACUGGUUCCCGUACCAACAACUCAUUUUCCCCUCAUAGUUACAAUGUGCUCAUCCACAUCUCUCCUUGUUAAACAGUAUGCCUUUGGCACUCUCUCCAGACAAUCUCACUGUCUGUACAUUAAGAGGUCCAUUUUAGGAGUGCCCAUCGUGGCUCUGUGGAAACGAAUCUGACUAGUAUCCAUGAGGACGCAGGUUCUAUCCCUGGGCUCACUCAGGGGGUUAAGGAUCUGGUACUGCCGUGUGUUGUGCAGGUCACAGACUCAGCUUGGAUCCAGCAUUGCUGUGGUGUAGGCCAGCAGCUACAGCUC
This 1446-nucleotide long non-coding RNA is filed under the name Sus scrofa (pig). Its description in RNAcentral is "lncRNA (ENSSSCG00035071041.1, ENSSSCG00055007879.1, ENSSSCG00065042633.1)". The record is from RNAcentral. Lineage: Eukaryota; Metazoa; Chordata; Mammalia; Artiodactyla; Suidae.